RNAcentral lists this long non-coding RNA (235 nucleotides) under Nicotiana benthamiana. Its description in RNAcentral is "long non-coding RNA (NBEN_LNC003521)". The record is from RNAcentral. Lineage: Eukaryota; Viridiplantae; Streptophyta; Magnoliopsida; Solanales; Solanaceae.
CAUGUAGAAAUUCACUAUCGGUAAAUUGAAAACAAGGGUGAUCACUAUCAAGCAUUACGGGAGGCGGAUUAGGACGUCUAGGUUGGCUACUAAUUUUAACUUGCUUAUCUUUUUUAGGUCGGGGAGCCGAGGGAACGGUAGUAUUAUGGCAACUACUUUCACUGGUUGUACCUUUUCCUUUACCGAACAUUUUUUUCAAAGAAAAUGCCAUACUAAUUAGAAUUAUGCAAANNNN